This is a long non-coding RNA of Oncorhynchus tshawytscha (Chinook salmon), 651 nucleotides long. NCBI's taxonomy places the organism in Eukaryota, Metazoa, Chordata, Actinopteri, Salmoniformes, Salmonidae. The record is from Ensembl.
AGCUAGGAUCUGGUUUAGGGUGAGGGCUAGGAGCUAGGAUCAGGUUUAGGGUGAGGGUUAGGUUUAGGAGCUAGGAUCAGGUUUAGGGUGAGGGGUAGGAGCUAGGAUCUGGUUUAGGGUGAGGGCUAGGAGCUAGGAUCAGGUUUAGGGUGAGGGUUAGGUUUAGGAGCUAGGAUCAGGUUUAGGGUGAGGGGUAGGAGCUAGGAUCAGGUUUAGGGUUAGGGUUAGGAGCUAGGAUCACGUUUAGGUUGAGGGUUAGGAGCUAGGAUCAGGUUUAGGGUGAGGGUUAGGAGCUAGGAUCAGGUUUAGGGUGAGGAUUUGGAGCUAGGAUCUUUAAGGUUAGGUUUUAGGGUUAGGUUUUAAGGUCAGGUUUUAGGGUUAAAGUUAGGUUUUAAGGUUAAGGUUAGGUUUUAGGGUUAAGGUCAGGUUUUAGGCUUAAGGUCAGGUUUAGGUUUUAUGGUUACGUUUGAAGUUUAAGGUUAGGUUUUAGGUUUAACGUUAGGUUUUAAAUGGGACUGAAUUGUGUGUCCCCACAAGGUUAGUUAUACAAGACUGUGUGUGUGUGUGUGUGUGUGUGCCUGUGAAGACUGCAGGGUCUAAUCUUCAGAGAGUAGAUGAAUAGGGGUUAUUAGCCAUGCAGAACACUAAACG